GCUGAUGUAGCUCAGUUGGUAGAGCAGCUGACUUGUAAUCAGCUGGUCGGGGGUUCGACUCCUCUCAUCAGCUCCA
RNAcentral lists this transfer RNA (76 nucleotides) under Gammaproteobacteria bacterium 42_54_T18. Its description in RNAcentral is "tRNA-Thr". It matches the Rfam family "tRNA". Rfam says of the family: Transfer RNA (tRNA) molecules are approximately 80 nucleotides in length. Their secondary structure includes four short double-helical elements and three loops (D, anti-codon, and T loops). Further hydrogen bonds mediate the characteristic L-shaped molecular structure. tRNAs have two regions of fundamental functional importance: the anti-codon, which is responsible for specific mRNA codon recognition, and the 3' end, to which the tRNAs corresponding amino acid is attached (by aminoacyl-tRNA synthetases). tRNAs cope with the degeneracy of the genetic code in two manners: having more than one tRNA (with a specific anti-codon) for a particular amino acid; and 'wobble' base-pairing, i.e. permitting non-standard base-pairing at the 3rd anti-codon position. The record is from RNAcentral. Lineage: Bacteria; Pseudomonadati; Pseudomonadota; Gammaproteobacteria.